GGCGACAUGAUGGAACUGGUAGACAUGAGGGACUUAAAAUCCCUUGGGCAUUACACCUGUACGGGUUCGAAUCCCGUUGUCGCUA
Molecule: transfer RNA, 85 nt
Filed under: Caudoviricetes sp.
Lineage: Duplodnaviria; Heunggongvirae; Uroviricota; Caudoviricetes
Description: tRNA-Leu
Rfam family: tRNA
About the family: Transfer RNA (tRNA) molecules are approximately 80 nucleotides in length.
Source: RNAcentral